RNAcentral lists this long non-coding RNA (2448 nucleotides) under Monodelphis domestica (gray short-tailed opossum). Its description in RNAcentral is "lncRNA (ENSMODG00000032649.2)". The record is from RNAcentral. Lineage: Eukaryota; Metazoa; Chordata; Mammalia; Didelphimorphia; Didelphidae.
GAAUCCUUGGCAUUUAGCCCCUUGUAUGAAAGGGCACAUCUUUGUGCACUUCAAACCUUAGGAAAGAAAGUUUUAUUACCUCAUUUUGUCUUUAUAUCACAUAGAUUUUGGAAAGUAUUUCCUUUCUUUCUCCUCUCCCCCAUCUGCCCUGAAACUGACCCUUUUCUUGGAACAAAGAAAAAAGUUAAGCAAAAACAUCUGAAAUAGUGACCUCUAAGGAACUAUUAUUGGAUUUUCAAUGACUGAAAGUUCAGCUUUAUUUUAAUUUACAUUGCUGUAGUUUAAAGCAGUCCUUUUUGCUUUGACUAUUCAAGUACCAACCAGACUACUUAGAGUCUAGAACUUCAAAGUAUAGUAAAUUAACCUCAAAAGUUUUUCUUUUCUGUAUUUGUCACUGUGGAUGUAGAAUGUGCCAAGUGGGGUCAUGAACACACAUACUUAGGUACAACUGCCAAAGUUAAGAUUUUUCUUUAUGGUAGUUUGGUGGAUAGAGCCCUGGGCUGGAAGUUGGAAGACCCAGGACACUUACUAGCCCAGGGACCUUGGGCACUUCACUUUACCUAUGUCUGUUUCCUCAGUUUUAGUUUGGAUGUUUUCCUUUGUGGGGUGUGUAGUUGGGGGGGGACUGGGGUGAUUCCUUCCUGGGAUGACUUCCUCCCUUUCAGAUCCCUUCCAAACCUUGAGGUUCUAGGAAGUGGUCUUGGCUUGUGGGCACCCUGUGUGAGCUGCCUGGGACUCAGAGCUUCGGGCCAGUGACACUUACUGGGCGUGUGACCUUGGUUUAGACCCUUAACCUUCCUGAAGCUCAGUUGCCUCACAUGUAAAUUGGAAAUAAAACUAUAGUAUAUAAAGGGAAUGUGUGUUGCUGCUGCUACCUCCCCAGCUCUGUUCCCUGAAGCUCCUGGCAUUGGCCAGAAGUGAGUCAGGCCCCCAAGCUGGCACUGGGGCCUGUGGAGCAGUUUGGGUUUGUUGUGGUUUUCUAUGCCAAUGGUUAGCUCCCGGCCCUGCUGGUGGCUGGACCGUGGAACGUCGGGGCCUGGGUGUCCACUCGCGCUCCAGCCGCCGCCCUAGCACCUUUCAAAAGUCGCUGGAGGCCCCGCGAUCCCCGCUGCCUCGGUGGGGCUCCCAGCUCGCUCGCCGGCCCCUGCAGCCCUCUCUCCUAGGCUUUCUCUGUUCAGCCCACCCCCGUAAGGUGCAGGAGCCAGGUCUGCGCCGGCAGAGGAGCCCCGAGGCCACCCCGGAGCCUUGGCGCCUGGCUGCCCCGCCUGGACCAGCAAGUGUCUCUCCUCAGCCAGUACGCGAGCCUUGGCGAGGCCGCAAAGGCGGCCGCAUUGACGUCCACUCAGCACCCUCAAAGGGGAGCCAGGCAGCUACGCCGCCUCUCUUUAACUUCUCAUGGCUCAGAGGAACAGAAAACCCAAGAGGAAACUGAAGUGUUGUCCUUGCCUUUCCUCUCCCGGGCCAGAUGAGGACUGGCCGGAGCAGGUGAGAAGAAGGGCCCCUAGGGAGAGGAGAUUUGGACUUUUUUUGAGGAGAGAGAAGGGGACGUCCAUAUCUACUCUGAUUUAGAUUACUCUGAGAGAAAGCUGCUCUGGGAGUUAGGGUCAGCUAGAUUCCAAAGAGUGGGCAUCCUAAUAAUCAAUCACUUAUGCAUCCUGUGUGAGAUACUGAAGGAAUGGAGGGGUAACAGAAAAGCACGGAGUCCCCUGCCCCCAGAGGAGCUUGCCCUAGCUGGGGUGACAAUUGGUGUUCCGAAAUACCUUUAAUACAAGGUAGACUAUGAAAGUGGAGGAAGGGAAUUCAGAACAAAUGGCUGGAGGAGCUGUGAGGAAGGAGAGCUUAGAGAUCUAAAUCAGCCAAGCUUCAGGAAGGAAGUGGCACCUAAGGGGAAUAGUUUUCCAAAAAAGAAUUUAUCAAAACCAGAUCUGCUGUCCUUCCAAGUUGGCUCUAUCUUGAGUUCUAACUCCAGCUCUAUCAUUAAAGUAAUUGUGUGACAUUAGAUUACUAAUUGUGUGGCCCUGGAUAAAUCUCAUGACCUUCCUGGGCCUUAGUUUCCUCAUCUAUAAAAUGAGAGAAUUGGAGGAGGCAGUCCUCUGAUGUCCCUUCCAGCUCUAGAAUAUCAUCCUGUGAAGCUAUUUUCUUUUUCCGAGAAUUAGUUUUCUCAUUUGUGAAAUUUGCUUGAUUUAUUCUAGACAAUACUUGAUGAUUCUAUGAUCAAGUUGAGAGGGGACAUACAUAAUGUUAUCCCCAGACAUUACAAGUAGAUCUUGUAAGCAGAAAGUCCCAUCCCAAUCCCCUUUUUUUUUUACCUUCAUUGGUAUUAAUAGUUCCCAGUUGGGUGUGAAACCUCCCACCAGUGUUAGAGAGUUGCCUGGGCAUUAGAACACUAAUAGUUCUAGUGAUUAGCCCAUAGUCACACAUUCAAUAAAUAUUCAAGAUUUCUAGACA